UGGCAGACGGGUGAGUAACACGUGGGAACCUUCCUAGGGGUACGGAACAACUCAGGGAAACUUGAGCUAAUACCGUAUACGUCCGUGAGGAGAAAGAUUUAUCGCCCCUAGACGGGCCCGCGUAGGAUUAGGUAGUUGGUGAGGUAACGGCUCACCAAGCCUACGAUCCUUAGCUGAUCUGAGAGGAUGAUCAGCCACACUGGGACUGAGACACGGCCCAGACUCCUACGGGAGGCAGCAGUGGGGAAUCUUGGACAAUGGGCGCAAGCCUGAUCCAGCCAUGCCGCGUGAGUGAAGAAGGCCUUCGGGUUGUAAAGCUCUUUUACCAGGGACGAUAAUGACGGUACCUGGAGAAUAAGCCCCGGCAAACUUCGUGCCAGCAGCCGCGGUAAUACGAAGGGGGCUAGCGUUGUUCGGAAUUACUGGGCGUAAAGCGCACGUAGGCGGAUUGUUAAGUCAGAGGUGAAAUCCCGGAGCUCAACUUCGGAACUGCCUUUGAUACUGGCAAUCUAGAGUCCGGA
Molecule: ribosomal RNA, 521 nt
Filed under: uncultured bacterium
Lineage: Bacteria
Description: bacterial SSU rRNA
Rfam family: Bacterial small subunit ribosomal RNA
Source: RNAcentral